UUUGUGACCUUUUCGGAAACUCCUACAGAAUAUUCUUAAGUACGUUGCACGAAGAUUCACUCUUCAAACAAAAGUAUAAUCGAGGCUACAAACGUAUAUUUAAAUUCCAAAUUAAAUUAAAUAAUGUUAAACUAUUUGAAGUUCUUUUUAAAAAUAAACUAUCCUGGCUAAAUAAUUGUUAAUAAAUGUUUAGUUCACAAGUUUCAUGAAUUAUCGGAGAUAAAUAACAGUUUGAGUAAUCAAUUUUGAUUUCAAUAUUCUUGGCACUAUAGUGAUCGAGUUAGUGGAAGAUAGAGAAUUCAAUUAAUAACGUAAGGAAAGUAAUACACAAUAUUUCAAUUCUGUAUCGAAAUAAAACGUUUCCUCAUUUGCAAAUAUUCCUAGCUAUCACUUGAAGAGAAAGCUCAGGAAGAGCUUGGGUAACUUUGGAAGCACAAUGGAAAGAUUAUUUGGAUUUAAUGGUGGAGUGGAUCUAAUAUUAUUAAAAAAGAGAAAGAUAGCGCUAGGUACUCGGAAAUGCUUGACAGUAGCGACAAGCUGGAUGAAGCUAUAGGAACACGAAAAACGACUAUUCGGUUCGCCACGUCAGCGAGCUUCGAUAUUACCUUCUCUACUAAAGGUCAUUCAAUGUAUUCACUUGGAGAGACUGGAGAUAGUUAUGCACAUUGUCUGUUCCUCAGACUUUUUCCUGCACGUGUGCAUCCGAUAACAGAGAAACACGUGCGUACCUUCUCCCCUUCGUUCGUGGUGCAGGGAUUUUAUGUCAGAAGCACGUAUCACCGGAAAUCUAACGCGUGCUGGCAAUACGUGUAUAUUAUGCGUUAUGUCAUCUUUUCGGUAAAACGAAAGCGAGUAUGCAAAUGCCAAAAUGGGAAAGAGUCGGUGAGAUCAUUUGAUAUUUGUAAUUGGUUUAACGUUAGAAUUGUUAAAUUCGUCCGAAUGAUAGACUUAUAAUUUUUAAAUUUUAUUUGUAUCGGUAAAUAACGUAUAUACUCGUUCAUAUGUUAAAUAACUUAUUAAGAUAUUAUUGUAUUAUUGCAUAAUGAUCGUAAUAACACAUGGAUUAAUUUAAACAUACAGUUACAGAUCAAAGUUAAUGAUAUUCCCAAUGGAGUGUAAAUCGAAUACGUGUAGGUGCUAGAGUAAAUUUAAUUUUUUUGAAAUUUGAACGAUCUUUUUAAAUUGCUUUCUAGCCUACGCGACUGUCGUAUGAAAACGAGAUUUCCUGCAUUAAUCAUAUUUUAGUAAUUCUUCCCAUUGGUCCGCGCUAUUGUUUUAUAAAUUGCUUCAUUUUAAUUAAAUCUGGUUGAAUUUAAUUUCGUAACGAUCGACGUUCUGUCGACUCUGUAGCACACGUGCGCUUCCGGCAGGCAACAUAUGUGUAUGCUUGUCCUAGCUGUACGCUUGAAUAUUAUUGAAAUAUAAUCUGAAAACAUUAAUAGCCAUUUGUUAAUAUCCGUCGACAAACAACUGUAUCACCCGAAAAUGUUUCAUUAAUUAUAAUUUAAAUAUAAUUUCUUCUGUCUCUGAUUCAAACAGUUGCUGCAGUAAAAUGUUUUUCCAAUUACGUUUCCAUUACAUUUUCUCCAGAUGCGUGUUAUUCUUUUAUUUUAAUAAUAUCUGUCGAUCUGUCUAUAUCGUAAAUGAUUUAUAAAUUCAAUAAAUUAAAAUUUGUUAGUUUUCUAUUUCAAGAUAUCUAAAUGGCCAUUCGGUGUUCUGAAUAUUAAUUUAUGAGCAUUAAAAACUUAGUUUUUCAUUCAGUAAUUUAAUUUAUAUCGUUACAUGUUAUAUUGUUACAAUUAAUUAGAAUCUUUUAAAUUGAGAAUAUCCUCUUCAAUAAAUGUAAAUUCAAAUUCUAAAGGGAACAGUCAUAUUAUCUUUGUCACACGUGUCAAGUUUCUUUUUUAAUAAUAAGGGAGAUCAUUACCAUUGAUCAUUACCACGCCAUAUUUUCAAGAAUCAAUAAAAAGCUUGCUAAAAACGCUAGAAAGAUGUUAUUUUUGUUGUUUCUUGCGACAUCGAUAUUGACCGGCUGAUACUCCGGGACGCGUCGUCAAAUACCACAGCUAAAUAAACUGAAUUGCUCUGCGGCUUUGAUAUUACUUUCGGUGAACUUCCGUCAUUAAUUCGGCGAACUUUAGAAGAAACGCUGAAAGCAAUAUCUGUCUUAAGAAUAGCUGCGUGGAAGUCUGUGUCCGUGUAACAGAUUUCAGUGAACUGUCACACUGAACAUCGAUGUAGUUGUUGAAAUGAAUUUGGUGCAUCGAACAGAUAGGUUAUUAUUUUUACAGAAAUCAAAGUAAUCUCAUUGAAAGUUUAAAAUACUCCAAAUCUGAUUGCGUGACCGAUAAAUAUUGAUCUUUGAUCGAUAAUCAUAAAUUGUUAUAUUGUUAGUUAUUGUUAUAUAUACAUAAAUAUUAUAUUAAUAACAUUUAUAUAAUUAUAUUUAUAUAUUCGAUACCAAUAUUUGGAAUACCACUUCAAUGAUUAUAGAUUAUAGUCAAUAUGUAAACAUAAAUUAUAUGAAUUAUAUAAGGUAUAACAUAAACGUACCAAGUAUGAUUAACUCUUUAUUGACGAUCCAACCUUUUAUCUUCGUACUCAUUCCCACACAAUUUUUAUAUUAUAUACGAAAAAGGUUCAAAUAUUGACAAGCAUCACAAAAUUCUUUCAUUCGAAGCCUAGAACAGUAAACGAUUUAGAAUUACAAGGUUGAUUUCUAAAAUCGUUCGUUGUUCUCGUUAUUUUUAACUUACGAUGAACGAUCUUCGCGUUAAACAAUGUCUAUAUGUUAUUUCUAUUUUUAUGUGAAAUAGUUUCUAUAUUUAAUUUUCAAUAUCUCGAAUUUGAAACGAUGUGAACUAGAAGCUCAUUUUUAAUGUAAUAAUUGUUCUUAAAUGAAACUGUACAAAUUUACUUUUUCGUUGUAAGAAGAUAGAAAAUGUUAAUAAAAUAAAGUUAAAAUUAUACGAACAACUCUGUCAUAGCUGAGUAAUUUCUAAGACAAAAUUUUCAUAUUACACGAAUG
Molecule: long non-coding RNA, 3028 nt
Organism: Bombus pascuorum
Lineage: Eukaryota; Metazoa; Arthropoda; Insecta; Hymenoptera; Apidae
Exons: 4
Source: RefSeq, a predicted model, not a curated record